CCUAUGGGUGGCAGCAGUGGGGAAUAUUGGGCAAUGGGCGCAAGCCUGACCCAGCAACGCCGCGUGAAGGAAGAAGGCUUUCGGGUUGUAAACUUCUUUUGUCAGGGAAGAGUAGAAGACGGUACCUGACGAAUAAGCCACGGCUAACUACGUGCCAGCAGCCGCGGUAAUACGUAGGUGGCAAGCGUUGUCCGGAUUUACUGGGUUUAAAGGGUGCGUAGGCGGAAUAUCAAGUCAGCGGUAAAAAUUCGGGGCUCAACCCCGUCGUGCCGUUGAAACUGAUGUUCUUGAGUGGGCGAGAGGUAUGCGGAAUGCGUGGUGUAGCGGUGAAAUGCAUAGAUAUCACGCAGAACUCCGAUUGCGAAGGCAGCAUACCGGGGCCCAACUGACGCUGAAGCUCGAAAGCGUGGGUAUCGAACAGGAUUAGAUACCCGUGUAGUC
This 441-nucleotide ribosomal RNA is filed under the name uncultured bacterium. RNAcentral describes it as "partial 16S ribosomal RNA". It matches the Rfam family "Bacterial small subunit ribosomal RNA", at positions 338 to 795 of the family's 1533-position model. The record is from RNAcentral.